RNAcentral lists this RNase P RNA (371 nucleotides) under Bryobacterales bacterium. Its description in RNAcentral is "RNase P RNA component class A". It matches the Rfam family "Bacterial RNase P class A". From Rfam's summary of the family: Ribonuclease P (RNase P) is a ubiquitous endoribonuclease, found in archaea, bacteria and eukarya as well as chloroplasts and mitochondria. Its best characterised activity is the generation of mature 5'-ends of tRNAs by cleaving the 5'-leader elements of precursor-tRNAs. The record is from RNAcentral. Lineage: Bacteria; Pseudomonadati; Acidobacteriota; Terriglobia; Bryobacterales.
UCGGUCGUCCGGGCAGUCGCUGCGCUCUUGGGCGCGGAGGAAAGUCCGGUCUCCGCAGGGCAGCGUGCCGGCUAACGGCCGGGAGGCGCUCUCGAAAUGGGGCGUCGACGGAAAGUGCCACAGAAAUGAUACCGCCCCGCUUUGCGGGGUAAGGGUGAAAUGGUGCGGUAAGAGCGCACCGCGUCUCGGGUAACCGGGACGGCAGGGCAAACCCCACGCGGAGCAAGACCAAAUAGAGGGCGAUGCGAUGGCCCGUCGCGCCUGAGUCCCGGGUAGGUCGCUGGAGGCGUUUGGUGACAGGCGCUCGAGAUGAAUGGCUGCCGCCCGUCCUCGGACGGGAACAGAAACCGGCUUACAGGGCGGCCGGCCCU